CCUACGGGCGGCUGCAGUGGGGAAUAUUGCACAAUGGGCGCAAGCCUGAUGCAGCCAUGCCGCGUGUGUGAAGAAGGCCUUCGGGUUGUAAAGCACUUUCAGCGGGGAGGAAGGCGUUAAGGUUAAUAACCUUGUCGAUUGACGUUACCCGCAGAAGAAGCACCGGCUAACUCCGUGCCAGCAGCCGCGGUAAUACGGAGGGUGCAAGCGUUAAUCGGAAUUACUGGGCGUAAAGCGCACGCAGGCGGUCUGUCAAGUCGGAUGUGAAAUCCCCGGGCUCAACCUGGGAACUGCAUUCGAAACUGGCAGGCUAGAGUCUUGUAGAGGGGGGUAGAAUUCCAGGUGUAGCGGUGAAAUGCGUAGAGAUCUGGAGGAAGACCGGUGGCGAAGGCGGCCCCCUGGACAAAGACUGACGCGCAGGUGCGAAAGCGUGGGGAGCAAACAGGAGUAGAUACCCCGGUAGGC
RNAcentral lists this ribosomal RNA (465 nucleotides) under uncultured Klebsiella sp. RNAcentral's name for it is "bacterial SSU rRNA". It matches the Rfam family "Bacterial small subunit ribosomal RNA", at positions 338 to 795 of the family's 1533-position model. Lineage: Bacteria; Pseudomonadati; Pseudomonadota; Gammaproteobacteria; Enterobacterales; Enterobacteriaceae. The record is from RNAcentral.